UAAUACGUAUGUCCCGAGCGUUAUCCGGAAUUACUGGGUGUAAAGGGUUCGUAGGUUGCAAGAUAAGUUAGAUAUGAAAGACCGGAGCUUAACUUCGAGUUAGUAUUUAAAACUGUCUUGCUAGAAUUAGGGAGAGGUAAGCGGAAUUCUAAGUGUAGGGGUGCAAUCCGUAGAUACUUAGAAGAACACCAAAAGCGAAGGCAGCUUACUGGAACUAUAUUGACGCUGAGGAACGAAAGCGUGGGGAGCGAAAAGGAUUAGAUACCCUUGUAGUCCACGCCCUAAACGAUGAUAACUUAGUGUUGGAGGUAAACUUCAGUGCUGAAGCUAACGCGAUAAGUUAUCCACCUGAGGAGUACGGUCGCAAGAUUA
RNAcentral lists this ribosomal RNA (372 nucleotides) under uncultured bacterium. RNAcentral's name for it is "bacterial SSU rRNA". It matches the Rfam family "Bacterial small subunit ribosomal RNA", at positions 521 to 896 of the family's 1533-position model. The record is from RNAcentral.